CAAUAGCGUAUAUUAAAGUUGUUGCAGUUAAAAAGCUCGCAGUUGGAUUUCUGGUAGGAGCGACCGUGCCGAACUUGAUUGUUCGAGUAUUGUGUUGUCUUCAGCCAUCCUCGUGGAGAACUUUUCUAACAUUAACUUGUUGGGAUUGGGACCCGCGUCGUUUACUGUGAAAAAAUUAGAGUGUUUAAAGCAGGCAUUAGCUUGAAUACAUUAGCAUGGAAUAAUAAGAUAGGACUUUGGUACUAUUUUGUUGGUUUGCAUACCAAAUUAAUGAUCAACAGGAACAGUUUGAGGAUAUUCGUAUGAACAUGUCAGAGGUGAAAUUCUUGGAUUUUGAUCAGACGAACUACUGCGAAAGCAUUUAUCAAGGAUGUUUUCAUUAA
RNAcentral lists this ribosomal RNA (383 nucleotides) under uncultured eukaryote. RNAcentral describes it as "partial 18S ribosomal RNA". It matches the Rfam family "Eukaryotic small subunit ribosomal RNA", at positions 592 to 976 of the family's 1831-position model. The record is from RNAcentral.